GAAGUAAAAAGUCGUAACAAGGUUUCCGUAGGUGAACCUGCG
RNAcentral lists this ribosomal RNA (42 nucleotides) under Zalerion sp. PB1-R5-A Fr. RNAcentral's name for it is "partial 17S ribosomal RNA". The record is from RNAcentral. Lineage: Eukaryota; Fungi; Ascomycota; Sordariomycetes; Lulworthiales; Lulworthiaceae.